AUGGGCGGAAGCCUGAUGCAGCAACGCCGCGUGCGGGAUGACGGCCUUCGGGUUGUAAACCGCUUUCACCCAUGACGAAGCGCGAGUGACGGUAGUGGGGGAAGAAGCACCGGCCAACUACGUGCCAGCAGCCGCGGUGAUACGUAGGGUGCGAGCGUUGUCCGGAAUAUUGGGCGUAAAGAGCUUGUAGGCGGUUGAUCGCGUCGAUAGUGAAAUCCCGGGGCUCAACCUCGGGCUUGCUGUCGAUACGGGUUGACUUGAGGAAGGUACGGGAGAAUGGAGCUCCCGGUGGAGCGGUGGAAUGCGCAGAUAUCGGGAAGAACACCGGUGGCGAAGGCGGUUCUCUGGACCUUUCCUGACGCUGAGAAGCGAAAGCGUGGGGAGCAAACAGGCUUAGAUACCCUGGUAGUCCACGCUGUAAACGGUGGGUACCAGGUGUGGGUCGCAUUCCACGUGAUCCGUGCCGUAGCCAACGCAUUAAGUACCCGCCUGGGGAGUACGGCCGCAAGGCUAAACUCAAAGGAAUUGACGGGGCCCGCACAAGCGGCGGAGCAUGCGGAUUAAUUCGAUGC
RNAcentral lists this ribosomal RNA (572 nucleotides) under Propionibacterium acidifaciens. Its description in RNAcentral is "bacterial SSU rRNA". It matches the Rfam family "Bacterial small subunit ribosomal RNA", at positions 371 to 957 of the family's 1533-position model. Lineage: Bacteria; Bacillati; Actinomycetota; Actinomycetes; Propionibacteriales; Propionibacteriaceae. The record is from RNAcentral.